UACGGAGGGUGCAAGCGUUAUCCGGAUUCACUGGGUUUAAAGGGUGCGUAGGUGGGCAAGUAAGUCAGUGGUGAAAUCUCCGGGCUUAACCCGGAAACUGCCAUUGAUACUAUUUGUCUUGAAUACUGUGGAGGUCAGCGGAAUAUGUCAUGUAGCGGUGAAAUGCUUAGAUAUGACAUAGAACACCAAUUGCGAAGGCAGCUGGCUACACAAAUAUUGACACUGAGGCACGAAAAGCGUGGGGAUCAAACAGG
Molecule: ribosomal RNA, 254 nt
Filed under: uncultured bacterium
Lineage: Bacteria
Description: partial 16S ribosomal RNA
Rfam family: Bacterial small subunit ribosomal RNA
Source: RNAcentral